This 505-nucleotide ribosomal RNA is filed under the name uncultured fungus. Its description in RNAcentral is "SSU rRNA". It matches the Rfam family "Eukaryotic small subunit ribosomal RNA", at positions 569 to 1078 of the family's 1831-position model. The record is from RNAcentral. Lineage: Eukaryota; Fungi.
AGCAGCCGCGGUAAUUCCAGCNCNAAUAGCGUAUAUUAAAGUUGUUGCAGUUAAAAAGCUCGUAGUUGAACUUCAGACCUGGCUGGGCGGUCAGCUUAUCGGCGUGUACUGUCCGGCUGGGCCUUACUUCUUGGUGAGCCGGUGUGCCCUUUAUUGGGUGCGUCGGUGAACCAGGACCUUUACCUUGAGAAAAUUAGAGUGUUCAAAGCAGGCCUAUGCCCGAAUACAUUAGCAUGGAAUAAUAAAAUAGGACGUGCGGUUCUAUUUUGUUGGUUUCUAGAGUCGCCGUAAUGAUUAAUAGGGAUAGUUGGGGGCAUUGGUAUUGAGUCGCUAGAGGUGAAAUUCUUGGAUUGACUCAAGACCAACUAUUGCGAAAGCAUUUGCCAAGGAUGUUUUCAUUAAUCAAGAACGAAGGUUAGGGGAUCGAAAACGAUUAGAUACCGUUGUAGUCUUAACAGUAAACUAUGCCGACUAGGGAUCGGAUGACCUCAAUUAUUAUGUGUCA